Callithrix jacchus (white-tufted-ear marmoset) is the source of this 8103-nucleotide long non-coding RNA. RefSeq lists it as uncharacterized. The record is from RefSeq and is a predicted model, not a curated record. NCBI's taxonomy places the organism in Eukaryota, Metazoa, Chordata, Mammalia, Primates, Cebidae.
GCUGGUGAGUGGGAUGGUGGGUUAAAGAAGUAGAAGAUAAAAUAUAAGAUAUAGUUGGGACAAGCUUAAGUAUGGCUUUGGACUCCUUAGUAAGGACUGCAGAUUUCUGAAUGCUGUGAGAAGCGCUUGGAGAGUUGAGCAAAGGAAAAUAUGAUCUGACUUAUUUUAUAAUGAAUGCUUUAGUUGCUGAAUAAAGAAGAUGGUAGGAGAGGUAAAUGUGGAGCCAGAGUGCCCAGUUAGGAGGUUAAGUCCAUAGGAAGGGUAAUGCUGGCUUCAACUAGGGAUGUGGCAAUAAAUUAGUGAGAAGUGAUCUAAUAAAGGAUUUAUUUUAGAGUUAGAUAUUAUCACAUUUGCUCUUGGAUUAGCUCUUGGUUGUACAAUGUGAAUGAAAGGAAUCAAAGAUGCUUUGUAUAUUUUCGGCUUAAGCCAUUGAGUUACUGUUUAUUAAUUUUUUAAUCUUGGGGAUAAGUCACUUUUGGGAAGAAAAAUCAAGACUUAGGACAUGUUAUUUCAAGACUAUCAGCUAUUCAAGUGGGGAUGUCAGUUAGGCAUUGUUUAUAUAAAUUUGAAGUCCAAGAAGGGGUUCCAGGCUAGGUAUAUAAAUUUGAGAGUAAUCAACAUGUACUGAUAGAUUGUAUAUUCAAAUUAUGAGCCCACAUGAGCUUCCCUAGGACUAUGACUAUGGAUACAGAAGAGAAGAGAUCUGCCUACUGUGCUCUGUGUUCCCUCAAUGUUGAGGUCUGGGAGAGAGAGAAGACAAGCCAACAGGGGGAACUGUGACAGGGUGGCAGGAAUCAGGAUUAGACAGUAUCCUAGAAGCCACGUGAGGAAAGCGUCUCCUGCAGAAGUGAGUGAACUGUGGUCGACUGUGUUAAAUACCAUGGCUGGCCAAGCAAGGUAAAGUUGAUUCUUAAAUCAACCUCUGCAUGUGACAAUUGAGAGAUCCCUGGUGGCCUUAACAAAAGCAGUUUCCGGGGCAUGUGGAGAAGAAAAAAAUCUGCUUUGGCAUGUGUCCAGGGGACAAUAUGGCAAGAGGAAGUGGAGGGAGACAGCAAGUAUGGGUGGCUGUUCUCAGGAGUUUAGCUCUAAAGAGGAGUAGAGAGAUGAAGCUGUAGCUUGAGUAGUCAACAGACUUUUAUUAGGUUUAGGAGAUGCAGUAGCUGAAGGAAGGACCCAGCAGAAGGGAAAACAUUAGUGGGUCUUGCCCCGUCGGUUAUCUUCUUUCUCCAUUGCACCCCACACUCCCAGUGUCUCCUUUGGUUCUUACUCUUUUAUUUACUCAGUUUAUUAAUAUGUAUAAUCUUCCUUUCUUUUAAUUAAGUGAAAUCUCAGGAGCUUCAGAACCAGCCCAUCCUGAGUUCAGAGUUGCCUUCUGCCACUUUCUUGGCUGUGUGACUAAAUCCCUUUGAGCCUCCUUAUUUUCAUCUGAUAAAAUGUGGGAAAUAACCCCAAAGAGUCUAUUGUGAAAAUUAAAUGAGAUAAUGACUAUAAGAAACUUAGCACCUAGUUUUUAAACUUGAUCUUAGCCAAAAGGCCAAGAAGCAAUUAGUGCCUAGUUUUUAAUAGGAGUGCCACAAAUGUGAGUUAUCCUAUGAAAGAGCAGGGCAGGGAGGUUUAAUUAAUUAAUUAAUUUUUUUAGAGGUGAUGUCUCACUCUGCCACCCGGGCUGGAGUACAGUGACACAACCAUAGUUUACUGUAGCCUUGAACUCCUGGCUUCAAGCAAUCUUCCCAUCUCAGCCUCCCAAUGUGCUUUAUAGGGAUUACAGGUGUGAGCCACCACCAUGGCCAGCUGGUAGGGGGGUUUAACUUGAACUUCCUCAUCCCAAAGUAAAUUUGUUUUCUAACCUCUUGUCUAAAGAAUUUGAAAAAGUAGUAUCUAUACAAUGAUUCUUCUCUGCUUCUCAUUUGCUCCUCAACCCUUUGCAAUCUGCACCCUCACCACUCUACAGAAACUGUCCCAACGGUUACUUUUCAGUCCUCACCCUGGGUCACGUCUCUAAAACCUGUGAAAGUUUUCACUCUUUGCUUUUCGUCCCUUGGCUUCUAGGACACAAUGCUCUUUUGUUUUUCCUCUAUCUUUUCUGACUCAAGGAAGGUCUAAAACAUAUGGGUUCAAAUUGUGCUAUAGCUGGAACCUGAGCAACGCCAUUUUAUAAAAGACAAAAGCUGUUUUCCAAAAAAUAAGUUACCCCAUUCUCCUCACAAUGACUGCUAACCUUGGCUUCUGUAAAUAAGACUGCUAGUUUACUUUGCAGAAUGCAAAGAGGUAGAACUGCUUACCUUCUCUUAUCGGUAACUGCCAGAGUUGCUAGCCUUUACUUACCGGUAAUAACCAGAAUAAGCAGCCCAAGUUAAUUCCAUCCUGGCUCCUGCAACUUGACUCAAAUAAGUAACUAAAGAUCUGUGGAUUCUAAUCCUGCUCAGACAAUGUAUAAACUAAUGUUUAUCUUGACUUCUGUAAACCACUUAAGUAACAAUUGGAAUGACAAAAGUCUCCUGGCCCUUGGAAUGUCCGGAGCCGCCCCCUCACCCUCUUCUGGGCCCAGGAGAUGAGUUACAGUAUCCACUAGCCCUCGAAAUGUCUGAAGCCCUUCAUCCCCAUCCCCGCUCCUCACCCCCACUCCCAGGGUGGUUUUACGGGUAUAAAAAGGUCUUGUCACCCUUCUUUCUCUGCCAUGGGUUGGAGAGACGUGAGUCCUCCGUGGUCGCCGGCAAUAAACCCUGCAAUUUGGCAUACUUUUGUCUUGGUGUUGACUUUCUAUGCUCGGUCUGGUAUAACAAAAUCAAGGCAUUUGGGCAACCUGGGAAGACCCAAAGUUUUCUGUUCUUUAAAACUGUUUUAGUUUGAAUGUUACCAGUAUUGUGUUGUGGCUAAGAAAGAGGGCUCUAGAUUUAGACUCCCUGUGUUUAAAUUUUAUCUCUUGCACUCUCACUUACCUAUAAAAUGGGCAUCAUAAUAUCUACAUCAUAGGAGAGUUGUAAGGAUUCAUUGUUAGUCUAUGUAGUGUUUAGACAGUGCCUGGAGUAGAACAAGUGUUAGUGAUGAUGUUGAUAAUGACCAUGAUGAUGGCGGUGAGGAUGAUGGAGAGAGGGAAAUGAGUACUGACUAUGUAGGAUUAAAGGCAAAAAAGCCUCCCAGCUUCUACCACCCCAGCCCUACCCCAAGCAGUUCAGCUUUAGCUCCAAACCUACAGAGUCUACUCAGCAAAACAAAAGCAAUGUAGUUAAUCUGACCUCUCUUCCUAGGAGGGCACUUUGUGACUCUUUAGAGAGCAUGUCCUUUAGAGGUAUCAUUUUUUUCCCCAGUGGGCUAUCCAAGUAUUCCAUUUCAGUCAUAUAUGGUAAGACCCUCGAAAGGAGUAUUUGAUAAAUACAUUUUUCUCCAUUGAUAUGGUUUGGCUGUGUUCCCACCCAAAUCUCAUCUUGAAUUGUAACUCCCAUAACUCCCACAUGUUGUGGGAGGGACCCAGCAGAAGACAAUUGAAUCAUGGGGGAGGUUUCCCCAUACUGUUCUUGUUACCACAUACUGUUCUUGUGGAAAAGUCUCACAAAAUCCGAUGAUUUUAUAAGGGGAAAUCCCUUUCACUUGGCUCUCAUUUCUUUUUGCCUGCUGCCAUACGUGUAAGACAUGACUUGCUUCUCCUUGCCUUCUGCCAUGAUUGUGAGGCCUCCCCAGCCACAUGGACCUGUGAGUCCAUUAAAUGUCUUUCCUUUAUAAAUUACCUAGUCUCAGAUAUGUCUUUAUUAGCAGAAUGAGAAUACACUAAUAUAUCCCUUUUAUUGCACUGGCUUGGAUAUUUUAUCAACCAGUGGUGCCUGCUGACCCAGAGAGCUGCCCUGGAUGAAUAGCCUCCAUAGUCCAACUCAAUUCUGACAAUGUCAUAGUUUGUUUCAAUGGUUCUUCUCUGCUUGACUACCUCUAAAUGCCUUUUUGCUUCUAAAUAUUGAUGUUUGCUAGAAUGUCAUUUUUCGCUCUUUUGUCUGCUUAUCUAAAUUUGGUGUUCUAGACAGUACAUGUAGAAGUUUCAAGUGGCCCAUGAAUCCCGGAAAUUACAUGCAAGACUGGGUAUAUAUGUGCAUUUUUCUGGGAGAGGACGCAUGUUUUCAUCCAUAUUCCCAAAGGCAGCUCAAGAAUGAAAAGCCAAGCUAAUCCAAGUGUGAUUCAUUUUCAUGAGCCUUUGGGGUCUUUGCCAGUCCUGUUUUGUAGAUUGGAUGAGUUAAUCUCUUCCUUUUGGUGAGAUGAAUAGCUUUCUAAAUCUAUAUGAAAUAAAAGAUAUCCCCCUUUGGGCAAAAACAUGUCAAUACUUCCUGUGUAACCCUUCAAACCUUCUCCUGGCCAGGGGAAGCCUGACUUUCAUAUUCAAGUAGUAUACAUAUGUGAUUAAUUGUAUACAUUUCUGUUUAUCUAGCAGGAUUAUGUAAUUCUUAUGUGGCAUAACUAAAUUUUGUUUAUUUUUACAUCCCUCAGUGCCUAGUCCAGUGCUUGGGACCUGGUAAGUGCUCUGUAAAUACUGAUUGGACUGCAUUUUAUAUUCCUCAAUUAACAAUGAAACAAUAUAGCCCAAACAUGCUGCAUUUAUAAGUAUUUAGCAUACCAGGAUAUAUUAUGAAUAUGUAUAGCAAAAAAUGCUAUUGAGACAGAAAUUCCUGAGGGAAAUAUAUAAAUAUCACCCUAUUUCUUUCACAGAAAAAAAAAAUACAGAAUCAGGUUUUUCCACCAUUAAAUAAAUAUUCAUCCUUUAUCCCUCCAGGGGGGUCCCAAGCUUCCUGCAGUGAAAUGAGUCCUAAAUGUUCCCAGUAAAUCACUCUGAUUGUUUUUACCCGGUAGACAGAAUGGAGAUCUUAGUUGAUUUUUUUCUUCUGACAGCCUAACGAUUCAAAUAACUUAAGAUUUUUAAUGCCCAAGACUAGAGGAGGACAUGGUAAAAUCGUUCCCGCACCACUUCCUGUUUAGGAAAACGUGCCCAUGGGGAAGUUAAUAGCCACUUCUUGGGAGCAAAAGGCCCUACAACCACCCAAAAGGGCAAAAAGCCCAGCUCUCUGAACUAACAAUGCUGCCACUGCUCACAACAAGGAAAUUGCAAAUCACUGCAGGGUGGAAGCUGAGCCUGCUUAACGUACCCUGAGAGGUCCUGGUUCCCAUAAUAAGUAUUUUUUAAGAUAGGGGAGGCAUCAAUUUCAAUGACCAAAAGUGCUAGAUGAGUAAAGGUUGAUCCCAAUGGGGUUGCAGGCCUAGCUUCCAUUCCUCCAAUUGACUCUCUUCUUUCUCCACACCUAGCGGCACCCCUGACCCCAUCUCAACAUUGGUCCUAGGGAAACCUGGGUUAGGGAAUAUACUUGACUUGGUACAAAUCCACUAUGGCCAGGCAAAAGGCAUAUAAACAACACCCUACUUACCGUGUAUGGAGGACAGAACAACUGAGAGUGCCAAUGGCAACAAAUGAUGCUGCAGGCAUGACAAUGGGCCCUCGUGUGCCCUUUUCCUUAAGGGUAAUUAAUUGUUCGGAUUCAUACCUGAAAGCAGGCAUCCUACUGAAACAAGUAGCUGAUGAUCUAAGACAAGGCCAGCCUUGCUUGGCUCAGAGAUACCUGAGUGUGUCCAUCUUUUCAGGUAAAUUAACUUGACUGGCGUUAGGAUUUCAGCUCAAAAGGCAGAGAUUUGGAGCAAUCUACAGUAUUAUACAGUUUGUGCAUGGCAGGCAGUAGGGGGAGAGUAAAUAAUACCUGCAAAAGAAGAAAAUGCAGGCAUUUGAUUCAAGUGGCAGCAAGCUUACCACUUACGCAUGUUAAUAAAAUGCGAUGGAGUGAUUUGGUUAAGUCCCUCUACCCACACCACUUUAUUGUUCUUUUUUAACUUAAAUCAAUUUCUUAGAGCUAAAGGGCACGCAGGUUAGCAAAAACAGCAGGAAAUUGCUUGAUAUCGUUUUUUAUUUUCUAUUUUUAAAUCUGAAGUAAAUAGGCCAUAUAGUUCUUCCCUGACAUAACAAAACAUAAAAUGGCCCCAUCUGUGAUGAGGCAGAACCAGGGCUGCCUUGCCUGGGAAAAGUUUUGAAAUUUCUGAGAAAAACCCAUAUAUUGAAGUUGUAAGCUGUGAGGUUGAAGCCUUGCAAAUAAUCUGCAGUUUACUGUAGUUACUCAAAGCAGUCAGUUUCUAACUGGGGGCCAAGGGAGCUUCCUUGUUUUACAGAUGGAUAAACUGAGGCAUAGAGUUUAAAGACCGGCUCUUUAGAGUUUAAAGCCAUGCGAUGUCACUGAUAGAGACUCCCUCCUGGGAGGAAAAAGGCAAAAGAGCCUCUAUCCAGCAGAGGCUAGUAUAACCUCAAAGAAAUCUAUCUGAAGAUGAGGAAGCACCACUAACAACCAAAAAAUAAAAGAUCUGGAAGGCCGUCAUGGGAGGAUCACUUGAAGCUAGGAGUUCAAUACCAGCCAGGGAAACAGAGAGAUAACCUGUCUCUACAAAAAAUACAAAAAAUUAGACAGGCAUGGUGGCAAGUGCCUGUAGUCCUAUCUACUCAGGAGACUGAGGUGGGAGGAUCACUUGAGCCCAGGAGUUCAAGGUCACAGUGAGCUACAAUUGAGUCACUGCACUCCAGCCUGGAUGACAGAGACAGACAAUGUCUCAAAAAAAAAAAAAAAAAAAAAAAUCUAGAAUAUAGGCAGGAAUCAGCAUAACUGGGAAGCAAAUUAACCUUGACCUGGGACUUCUCCAAAUGAGUUUGCACAGCUGUCUCAAUCCAUGUAAAUCUCUUGUUAUAUAAACUCACUCACUUGAUCAACAGACGGGGGAGUCCAGAUGUUCGGGGAUAGAGCUCUCAGGCACCCAGCUUCCCCAGCUUUGAAUAUGCCAACACUGUCUAAAAGGAAGCUGAGCAAAACCCAAACAAACAAAACCAACACACAAAUACCAAAAGCAAACCCAAACAAAAUCCCAACCAAACAUGUUACAAACAACUAAGGAUAUUUUGUAAAGCAAUUAACUGACUCAUGACACUCUUGUCUCCCUGGCUCAGAUUUCUGAGAGUUUUAAAAAACAGUGCCAAACAAGGAAGUACCACUGCUUAAUUAGGUCUUGCCAAUUAUUUUGCCUGAUUUUACUUUUUUUCUACCUCCUUGCUCCUUUGCAGUGACACGGUGGGCUUCCGGUAGCUUUUCCCACCAGCACCCUGUAUCAGGUAGUGGACUUCCUGGACAAGCUCUACACUACCUUUGGGAAAAUUAUAUACCAUUAUGAUGUCUACAACAUAGAGACAAUAGGAAGUACAUGUGAGUGACUGUCGAUGUAUGGGUGGGUAUUGUAAGGUUUAUUGCCGAGUUAAAUGAGGAAACGGAGACCAGAGUAAAAAGGUAAAAGCCAAUUUAUUCAGCUCCUGGGCGAGGUUCUAUGGUCCGGGAAAGGGGCCAGAGAAGUCGCACUUCCCUUCUCUUCUUAGGGCGCGGCGUUGUAUAGGGAGUGGAGGUCGUUGAUUGGCUGCGGGGGAAACAAAGCGGAGGUAGUCUCAUUGGUUAUGAAGGGACCGGGCACGGACGAGGCGAGCCGCCAUUGGCAGUCAGGCGGGGCUGCUGGCAAGUGGGCUGGCUGAGGACGUACGGGGCAAGCUGCCAUAGGGCAGGUCUUGGCGGAAUUUUUAAAUUUUAGCAGGGCCAAGUGCCUAGUUUGCUAAUAAGUGCAGGACUGAGAUUGGAAGGCGGAAAUGGGUGUGGGGAGCCCGCGUGGAGAGGCCAGAUGCUGAGUAAUGCUCUCAGAAUGAUGACGUAGUUUUCAGUUUUGUCACACAUCAUGUGAAGCUUCUGGUGUGUAUUAUCACAGCACUGGACAACAAUGCCUCGCACAGUAGAAUAACAUAAUGGUAUACUUGCAUCAAGGACGGUUUUAAAGCACGCUCUGAAAAUCCACUGCAGUUCAAGUGCAUAUCAAAUCCUGGAGCAAAUUGGAGACUACAUACUGGCAUGUCUUAGGAAUGUGCAAGUCAAGUGGUUGACCCUCAAUUGGGAAAGAGAGAGAAUGAUACGAAGAAGUUUGAAAUGGUUCCAAGAAGUCAGAAAGUAACUUUUCCAACCGCCAAACCAUACCUGACUCUGCAGGCAUCUUUCUUCAGAAAAU